Molecule: ribosomal RNA, 117 nt
Organism: Danio rerio (zebrafish)
Lineage: Eukaryota; Metazoa; Chordata; Actinopteri; Cypriniformes; Danionidae
Source: Ensembl
UACUCUAGCCAUAUCACCCUGCAGCUCAAGACUGGUUACUCACAGAAGCUAAGCAAGGCUGAGCCUGGUCAGUACCUGGAUGUGAGACCACAUGGGAAAACUAGGUUGCUGUUGGAA